RNAcentral lists this ribosomal RNA (492 nucleotides) under uncultured bacterium. RNAcentral's name for it is "partial 16S ribosomal RNA". It matches the Rfam family "Bacterial small subunit ribosomal RNA", at positions 29 to 507 of the family's 1533-position model. The record is from RNAcentral.
AGUGAACGCUGGCGGUAGGCCUAACACAUGCAAGUCGAACGGCAGCACAGUAAGAGCUUGCUCUUACGGGUGGCGAGUGGCGGACGGGUGAGGAAUACAUCGGAAUCUACUUUUUCGUGGGGGAUAACGUAGGGAAACUUACGCUAAUACCGCAUACGACCUACGGGUGAAAGCAGGGGAUCUUCGGACCUUGCGCGAUUGAAUGAGCCGAUGUCGGAUUAGCUAGUUGGCGGGGUAAAGGCCCACCAAGGCGACGAUCCGUAGCUGGUCUGAGAGGAUGAUCAGCCACACUGGAACUGAGACACGGUCCAGACUACUACGGGAGGCAGCAGUGGGGAAUAUUGGACAAUGGGCGCAAGCCUGAUCCAGCCAUCCCGCGUGGGUGAAGAAGGCCUUCGGGUUGUAAAGCCCUUUUGUUGGGAAAGAAAAGCAGCAGGUUAAUACCCCGCUGUUCUGACGGUACCCAAAGAAUAAGCACCGGCUAACUUCGUG